UUGCUCCCUGAUUCAGCGGCGGACGGGUGAGUAAUGCCUAGGAAUCUGCCUGGUAGUGGGGGACAACGUUUCGAAAGGAACGCUAAUACCGCAUACGUCCUACGGGAGAAAGCAGGGGACCUUCGGGCCUUGCGCUAUCAGAUGAGCCUAGGUCGGAUUAGCUAGUUGGUGAGGUAAUGGCUCACCAAGGCGACGAUCCGUAACUGGUCUGAGAGGAUGAUCAGUCACACUGGAACUGAGACACGGUCCAGACUCCUACGGGAGGCAGCAGUGGGGAAUAUUGGACAAUGGGCGAAAGCCUGAUCCAGCCAUGCCGCGUGUGUGAAGAAGGUCUUCGGAUUGUAAAGCACUUUAAGUUGGGAGGAAGGGCAUUAACCUAAUACGUUGGUGUUUUGACGUUACCGACAGAAUAAGCACCGGCUAACUCUGUGCCAGCAGCCGCGGUAAUACAGAGGGUGCAAGCGUUAAUCGGAAUUACUGGGCGUAAAGCGCGCGUAGGUGGUUUGUUAAGUUGGAUGUGAAAUCCCCGGGCUCAACCUGGGAACUGCAUCCAAAACUGGCAAGCUAGAGUAUGGUAGAGGGUGGUGGAAUUUCCUGUGUAGCGGUGAAAUGCGUAGAUAUAGGAAGGAACACCAGUGGCGAAGGCGACCACCUGGACUCAUACUGACACUGAGGUGCGAAAGCGUGGGGAGCAAACAGGAUUAGAUACCCUGGUAGUCCACGCCGUAAACGAUGUCAACUAGCCGUUGGGAACCUUGAGUUCUUAGUGGCGCAGCUAACGCAUUAAGUUGACCGCCUGGGGAGUACGGCCGCAAGGUUAAAACUCAAAUGAAUUGACGGGGGCCCGCACAAGCGGUGGAGCAU
This 864-nucleotide ribosomal RNA is filed under the name Pseudomonas agarici. RNAcentral's name for it is "bacterial SSU rRNA". It matches the Rfam family "Bacterial small subunit ribosomal RNA", at positions 80 to 940 of the family's 1533-position model. Lineage: Bacteria; Pseudomonadati; Pseudomonadota; Gammaproteobacteria; Pseudomonadales; Pseudomonadaceae. The record is from RNAcentral.